GAGUUUGAUCCUGGCUCAGANUNAACGCUGGCGGCAGGCCUAACACAUGCAAGUCGAGCGGAAACGAGUUAACUGAACCUUCGGGGAACGUUAACGGCGUCGAGCGGCGGACGGGUGAGUAAUGCCUGGGAAAUUGCCCUGAUGUGGGGGAUAACCAUUGGAAACGAUGGCUAAUACCGCAUAAUAGCUUCGGCUCAAAGAGGGGGACCUUCGGGCCUCUCGCGUCAGGAUAUGCCCAGGUGGGAUUAGCUAGUUGGUGAGGUAAUGGCUCACCAAGGCGACGAUCCCUAGCUGGUCUGAGAGGAUGAUCAGCCACACUGGAACUGAGACACGGUCCAGACUCCUACGGGAGGCAGCAGUGGGGAAUAUUGCACAAUGGGCGCAAGCCUGAUGCAGCCAUGCCGCGUGUAUGAAGAAGGCCUUCGGGUUGUAAAGUACUUUCAGCAGUGAGGAAGGUGGGUAUGUUAAUAGCAUACUCAUUUGACGUUAGCUGCAGAAGAAGCACCGGCUAACUCCGUGCCAGCAGCCGCGGUAAUACGGAGGGUGCGAGCGUUUNAUCGGAAUUACUGGGCGUAAAGCGCAUGCAGGUGGUUUGUUAAGUCAGAUGUGAAAGCCCGGGGCUCAACCUCGGAAUUGCAUUUGAAACUGGCAAACUAGAGUACUGUAGAGGGGGGGUAGAAUUUUCAGGUGUAGCGGUGAAAUGCGUAGAGAUCUGAAGGAAUACCGGNUGGNCGNAGGCGGCCCCNCUGGUAUAGAUACUGACACUCAGAUNCCAAAGNA
RNAcentral lists this ribosomal RNA (780 nucleotides) under uncultured bacterium. RNAcentral describes it as "bacterial SSU rRNA". It matches the Rfam family "Bacterial small subunit ribosomal RNA", at positions 9 to 761 of the family's 1533-position model. The record is from RNAcentral.